Molecule: microRNA, 21 nt
Filed under: Populus tomentosa
Lineage: Eukaryota; Viridiplantae; Streptophyta; Magnoliopsida; Malpighiales; Salicaceae
Source: RNAcentral
UAGCCGAGGACGAUUUGCCUG